GCACAAGCAGCGGAGCAUGUGGUUUAAUUCGACGCAACGCGAAGAACCUUACCAGGGCUUGACAUCCCUCGCUAGUCGCGGAAACGCGAUGUCCCUUUGGGACGAGGAGACAGGUGGUGCACGGUUGUCGUCAGCUCGUGUCGUGAGAUGUUGGGUUAAGUCCCGCAACGAGCGCAACCCUUGUCCUUAGUUGCCAACGUAAAGUCGUGCACUCUAGGGAGACUGCCGGAGACAAUUCGGAGGAAGUGGGAUGACGUCAAAUCAUCAUGCCCCUUAUGUCCUGGGCUACACACGUGCUACAAUGGUUGGUACAACGAGUUGCGAGUCGGUGACGGCGAGCUAAUCUCUUAAAGCCAAUCUCAGUUCGGAUUGUAGGCUGCAACUCGCCUACAUGAAGUCGGAAUCGCUAGUAAUCGCGGAUCAGCACGCCGCGGUCGAAUACGUUCCCGGGCCUU
This 455-nucleotide ribosomal RNA is filed under the name uncultured Streptococcus sp. RNAcentral's name for it is "bacterial SSU rRNA". It matches the Rfam family "Bacterial small subunit ribosomal RNA", at positions 923 to 1382 of the family's 1533-position model. The record is from RNAcentral. Lineage: Bacteria; Bacillati; Bacillota; Bacilli; Lactobacillales; Streptococcaceae.